This 71-nucleotide transfer RNA is filed under the name Rhombodera latipronotum. Its description in RNAcentral is "tRNA-Trp". The record is from RNAcentral. Lineage: Eukaryota; Metazoa; Arthropoda; Insecta; Mantodea; Mantidae.
AAGACUUUAAGUUAAAUCAAACUAAUAUCCUUCAAAGUUAUAAAUAGAGAAAAUAUUAUCUUUAAGUCUUA